This 21-nucleotide non-coding RNA is filed under the name Arabidopsis thaliana (thale cress). The record is from RNAcentral. Lineage: Eukaryota; Viridiplantae; Streptophyta; Magnoliopsida; Brassicales; Brassicaceae.
AAUUGGGUGCUUGUUUGCUAU